GCCUAAGGUCGCUGGGAGGGCGUCGUCCAUUUGAUUUUGGCGGGUUUCCAAGGAGAGGAGAAGGGAAGGAGAGGCAGACGUCAAGAAUCCUUAUGCGAAGCCUCAGCUGCUCCUAACAUGGACGAUAAUGAUAACUUAGACCUGUGUAGCCUCCCUCUUG
Long non-coding RNA from Sceloporus undulatus (fence lizard), 160 nucleotides. RefSeq lists it as uncharacterized. The record is from RefSeq and is a predicted model, not a curated record. The transcript has 3 exons. Lineage: Eukaryota; Metazoa; Chordata; Lepidosauria; Squamata; Phrynosomatidae.